GACGAACGCUGGCGGCGUGCUUAACACAUGCAAGUCGAACGGAAAGUCCCUGCUUUUGUGGGGUGCUCGAGUGGCGAACGGGUGAGUAACACGUGAGUAACCUGCCCUUGACUUUGGGAUAACUUCAGGAAACUGGGGCUAAUACCGGAUAGGAGCUCCUGCUGCAUGGUGGGGGUUGGAAAGUUUCGGCGGUUGGGGAUGGACUCGCGGCUUAUCAGCUUGUUGGUGGGGUAGUGGCUUACCAAGGCUUUGACUGGUAGCCGGCCUGAGAGGGUGACCGGCCACAUAGGGACUGAGAUACGGCCCAGACUCCUACGGGAGGCAGCAGUGGGGAAUAUUGCACAAUGGGCGGAAGCCUGAUGCAGCAACGCCGCGUGCGGGAUGACGGCCUUCGGGUUGUAAACCGCUUUCGCCUGUGACGAAGCGUGAGUGACGGUAAUGGGUAAAGAAGCACCGGCUAACUACGUG
Molecule: ribosomal RNA, 468 nt
Filed under: uncultured bacterium
Lineage: Bacteria
Description: partial 16S ribosomal RNA
Rfam family: Bacterial small subunit ribosomal RNA
Source: RNAcentral